Molecule: long non-coding RNA, 850 nt
Organism: Bos taurus (domestic cattle)
Lineage: Eukaryota; Metazoa; Chordata; Mammalia; Artiodactyla; Bovidae
Source: Ensembl
GUGUCUGUGUGUUAAGAGGCAAAGUCAUGUCUACUAUCUGUCUUGCUGGUUUCCAGCCUUAUUUUUUAUAAUAUCCCCCAUGGCUUGAGGAAAGCUGAGUGAUCCUUUAUUCCUUGAAGCUAAGAGGGGCCAAACUGACUCAGAAAGACAUUUCAAAAUGAGUCUCCCUCAAUCAGCUGUCUGUUGUUUCACAUCAAAGGGGGAAUUACCCGGUUUCACACUGAAGUUAGUACCUCAGAAAAUGAAUUACCAGCCCCAGUGCUUUCUUUCUAAUGGGAUCUGGCAGGCUUCCUUUCCUGUGAGACGUUCUGGGCAAUACAGAGUGUGAACCUGAGCCAAGGACAGGAAGGACAGGGACAAUAUGGAUCCUCUGAAAUUACGCUUGAUGUGUGCGUGAGCAGCCUUCCAAGAAUCAUUGUCAAACAUCCCACAUCCCCACAUCUGGAUUAGGAGAGCUAAUCCAGAAGACCACAGCUGAGUCGCUGUGCAAAGCUGCCUCCCAGCAUUAUUGCCCAUGUCUGCUUUAUAACCGGAAGGUGUCUUGUCUGUUCACCUUUAACCUGGAGGCCCAGACAUUCCUCUCUUUCACUGCCCAGUGACCUCUCCUGCCUCUCCUCUCGUGACUGUGAAUUCUUUGUCCCUGUAACCUGGCUGCCGCAUAUGAGUCUGACCGAAGAUGGAGAGGAGCCCUAGGCUAGAGCAGCAGGUCUGUUUCCAGGACCACAUGCCUCCAGGCCUAGCUGGUAGUCUAGGGGUUGCUGUUUACUGAAGAUGAGAGCAAGGCUUGGACAUAUGGCCUGGAGUGUCUGAACUCCUUUAUGAGAGGUCCCAUUAAAGUGUGGAAUAGAGU